AUUUAUUUAGUAUAAAAUAGUACAUUUGAUUUCCAAUCAAAUAGUCUAAUUAUUUAGAAUAAAUA
Molecule: transfer RNA, 65 nt
Filed under: Blepharopsis mendica
Lineage: Eukaryota; Metazoa; Arthropoda; Insecta; Mantodea; Empusidae
Description: tRNA-Gly
Rfam family: tRNA
About the family: Transfer RNA (tRNA) molecules are approximately 80 nucleotides in length. Their secondary structure includes four short double-helical elements and three loops (D, anti-codon, and T loops). Further hydrogen bonds mediate the characteristic L-shaped molecular structure. tRNAs have two regions of fundamental functional importance: the anti-codon, which is responsible for specific mRNA codon recognition, and the 3' end, to which the tRNAs corresponding amino acid is attached (by aminoacyl-tRNA synthetases). tRNAs cope with the degeneracy of the genetic code in two manners: having more than one tRNA (with a specific anti-codon) for a particular amino acid; and 'wobble' base-pairing, i.e. permitting non-standard base-pairing at the 3rd anti-codon position.
Source: RNAcentral